This 907-nucleotide unclassified non-coding RNA is filed under the name Mesorhizobium loti. Its description in RNAcentral is "partial contains 16S ribosomal RNA, 16S-23S ribosomal RNA intergenic spacer, and 23S ribosomal RNA". The stretch from base 280 to 353 matches the Rfam family "tRNA". The record is from RNAcentral. Lineage: Bacteria; Pseudomonadati; Pseudomonadota; Alphaproteobacteria; Hyphomicrobiales; Phyllobacteriaceae.
UAAGGAAGAACUUUAAUGGAAACGCUCAUCUGAUGAGCCUCUGCCUUUUAGUUCUCUUGGAACAAGACGGAAGAGAGUCACUCUUACCGUCGCGCAUACCUUAAGCGGGUCUGCCGCUUUCGUUUCUCUUUCUUCAGCGAAUGACUUUGAUUGCGCUCGCGCGCCGUGUCGCACCCUUCGGGUGCUGGCGCUCCGCGAGGGCGCGGCACGAGCCGCGACGGCCGGUCGGCCUAGCGAGGCUCUGCCUCGAAGCCGGCUAGCAUCUGCGCUUGGAGCUUAGGGCUUGUAGCUCAGUUGGUUAGAGCGCGCGCUUGAUAAGCGUGAGGUCGGAGGUUCAAGUCCUCCCAGGCCCACCAUCUCUGAGAUGGAAGGUAGCUUCCUAUCUCCCUCUACAUCACUUCGAAGAGGUAAUAAGGGGCCGUAGCUCAGCUGGGAGAGCGCCUGCUUUGCAAGCAGGAUGUCGUCGGUUCGAUCCCGUCCGGCUCCACCACUACCUUGGUGUUGAGUAGAGAUGAGGCCGUGAGGCAAAAGUCAUUCGUAUAAAGUUUGCGGCGAACCUUAUGGUUCUCCGCCUGUUCUGUUUGACAUCGUAAAGAGAAGAUUUGUUCGAACUUCAUGAGCCGAAAGGGUCGUGAUUUGUCGCGGGAGACGCUCAAUCUCCCGCAUAUGAUGGGUUUGCCUAACCGCGCCCUCGAACCGAUCUCGAGAAGCUGGUCUUUUUGUGCCAAUUCCAUUGAAGCGAGAUCCCGCACAGGAUCUGGCUCGAGCGACGAUCCUUUCGGGAUCGCGCAGGUGGGUAUUGGCAAUGAGAACGAUCAAGUGUCUUAAGGGCAAUUGGUGGAUGCCUUGGCAUGCACAGGCGAUGAAGGACGUGAUACGCUGCGAUAAGCUACGGGGAGGUGCGAAA